GGGGGUAUAGCUCAGUGGUAGAGCAUUCGAAUGCUCAUCAAGAGGUCCACGGUUCACACCCGAGUGCCCCCU
Molecule: non-coding RNA, 72 nt
Organism: Trichonephila clavipes
Lineage: Eukaryota; Metazoa; Arthropoda; Arachnida; Araneae; Nephilidae
Source: the annotation of a GenBank genome assembly